Non-coding RNA from Oncorhynchus mykiss (rainbow trout), 3920 nucleotides. NCBI's taxonomy places the organism in Eukaryota, Metazoa, Chordata, Actinopteri, Salmoniformes, Salmonidae. The record is from RefSeq and is a predicted model, not a curated record.
AUAAUCGCAAACGUUACCGCUUUAGUUUAGCUAGCGACAUUUUUUGAAUGUUUAUAUGUAUUGGUAGCAGAUUAUAAAUAAAAAUGAGCGACGAAGCUGUAUUUGAAACAAUUGAAGAGGUCAAUAAGCAUCUCACACGUGGAAGAGUCAACCUGUGUGAAAUAUAUUUCUUACCGUGUGGACAAGCGAUUCAAUGACCAAGGUUGGAAACCACAGGACCACAAGAACCGGUUAUACUGGGAAUGGAAGUACGGCAAGAGUACUCCCUCUAUCCCCUUUGACAGAGUACCCUUCAUGUUCAUUUGACACAAACUGAUGGGAUGCCACAGGGGCCGGGCAAAGUGUGGAUUCAAGAAGAGGCAGGAACUUGAGGAUCAAAGGGAAAAAGAUGGCAAGGAAAAAAGAAACCUGUUGCUGAAAACCAAGAAAGUAGCAUGCCCUGCUGUGUUCACAAUCAGCCGCAUUGUGAAGUUCCCUGGAUUCAAGUUGGAGAAGGACCCAUCGCGGUUGAGGAGGGUCAUGUCUAUUUCCAUCAAACAAGCUCUCCAGACAGACCCAGCCUCGGUGCAGUGGAAGAUACAGUAUUUCCUCAAAAUACCCAGUUUCACUGACCACAAGGGCCAUCCUAUUGGAAAGGGUGCAGAUCAGAUGGACGACAGGGUCAAAGGUUACAUCCGAGCGUUGGUGCAGCAGGGGGUGAGGAAGGUGAAGGAGGUAAAGAACCAGAUGGUCCAGUACGUGCGGACGGAGCUGUUCCAAGACACGACCCCGCCGCCACUGAGGCGCUUCUUCCCCACAGAGAAAACCAUCCACGCCGUCAUGGCUCAGGUCAUCGCGGAGGAACACUACAGCAAAAUAGACCUGGUCAACCUGCUGCCAUGGGCAAAUCGGACUGCACAGGAUGAUUUCUGCACAGGAACUAGUGAACUCCACAGGCCCAGAACACACCAGCCUCACAACUCCUCACAACUCCCCAGCCUUAAUGUGUGUAGGCAGGACAAGGAGAACACCGAUUCAAUCCAGAAGAAGAGGAAAAAGAAGAGGCUAAAUGAGAAGGGAACCCAGGUUGAACUAGGCAUGCGGGAGGAUAUCCAUGACCUUGACCUCGCCCAUUGGAGAUUGGCUAGAGAGACAUGGAGAACUGAGCGAGGAAACAUGAGGGAGAUUAAGGCGCUGUAUGGAGAAAUAUUUAGGCUGCACCAACUCUUGGAGGAGAUUGGGGUGGAUAAAGGGGUGAUCAAGCAGCGCUCCACCUCUUCCAUUAUUUGUCCCGUCUCCCCGACACUGCCAGCUUUCCCCUGGUACAACCACCACAGGUACCUCGCCAACAGCCAAUCGGAGCCUGACCAGCAUACUGCCGGCACCCAGAAGGACCCACCUAAGAAACACUCAAUCUUUCCCCCUCUGGACACACAGAGCUGCACCUCCCCUGAUAAAUGGCCUCAUUCUCCGUCCAAGACGUCACACCCACACGCUUCACACCGAUUUGCUGUCCCAUCCCACCUCCUGGCUCCCGGCCAUCCUGCCCGGAUGAGACAGACCCAUCCGCAGGUCCACCCCAGGUCCCCAUUGACUGGCCAGGCAAAGGUCAAGGAUGAGGUUAAGAGGCAAGAGACUGCAUCGUCUGAGGAAUUGUCUGAGGAAGUUCAACGGAGAGGAGCAGAAAUUGCAAGCAUGUAUAAAGCACAGCUGAAAGAGAGGAUGGCCCAAAAGAGAAAGGAAGAGAUUCUGAAGAAAAUGGCAAACAGCGAUGACAAGAACGAUGACAGUGAGGCCUCCUGCUCCUCUGCAGUAAAACAAUCUAAUAUCCCUGCCACAGCCCCCGAGCGCCCGGACAGCCCAGAGGCCACGCCAGUGGCCGCCCGAGAGGACACUCAGGGGGACACCCAGCAGGACCUGGCAGAGGUUGUGAAUGUGCUCAAGAGGCAAUCAUCUGAUCUAUACCUGCCUGACGAUGUUUGUGAGGAGUCACUCACAUGGAAAUCCAUUUACGAGGAGCUGUGCCCGCUCGCUCACAGAGUGAACACAGAAGCUGACUACAUCAAGGCGCUUCGCGUCAUCACUGAGAAUGCUGUGACUCCCUCGUGCUCGUCUGAGGAUGACGUGUCUCAGAGUGUGAGUGAGGACACAAGUCAGGAGGGGAGUAGUGAAAGUGAGGAGAGCAUGAGUGGACAACAGCAGAGAUGUCUACACAGGGAUCCUUAUGGUAAGAGGGACAGGAAGGAGAUUGAUAGUGGUAAAAGGGAAGGGAGAUUUGCAACCGCCAAUGCAAUGUCUAUGAUGGCGAGCCGAGGGAUAGAAGAACUUAAUGCCAUGAGCUACACAGACAGGAUCAAAUAUUUCAAGUAUGAGGCUAAGAGAAAUGAAGAGAUGAUGAAGAUUGAAAGGAGGAAGGAAAAAGCCAGGGACGAAGAGCUCAAAAAGUGGGAAAAGAGACAGAAGAAAUUGAAUGAGGAGGAAAGGAAAAGGACAGAAAAUAUGGAAAAAAACAAGUUAGAGGAGCAGAGGAAAAGGGAGAAGGCAGAGAUGAAACUAAAGAUCGAACAUGAGAAAAAGAGACAAGAGCAAGAGAAAAAGAGGGAGAAAAAAGAAAGAAAGCAGCAGGAGAUGCAACAGAAGGCCCGUGCAAAAGAAGAGAAAAAGAGGGCAGAGGAAGAGAAAAAGAUGGAGAAACAGAGGAUGGAGGAGGAGAGGAACAGGGGAAAGGAGAGAAUGAAGGUGUUGGAGAUGCAGCAAAAGGCACGAAAGAAAGAAGAGAAGAGGAGGAAAGAGGAACAGAAAAGGAGAUUGAAGAUACAACAGGAACAAGAGAAGGAGGAACAGAAAAGGAAGACAAGGAUACGGGACGAGGAUAAGAAGAGAGCAGAGCUUCAAAGAAUAAAAGAUCACGAGGCCAGGUUCAAGAUGGAGAUGGAGAAACUGUAUGAGAGAGAAGAGAGGAAUGCACAGAUUGAAAGAGAAAAGAGGCGUGCGCUGUGUCAGAAAAAAGGACAGACACAGAGAGCAAAACAGGUGGUGGCAUACGAGGUCACAGCGUCUACAUCUGACGCCUCUGUGCGGAGGGAAGAGAGAGAGCAGCGUCCAGAGACCGCUCACGCACAGUCUGCAAAGAGGAGAACAAGGAAGAAGCAGAAGAAAGCGGCGGACGAGGCAUCGACAACUUUUCAGUAGAUGACAAAAGAAAGGGAGCAGACAAAAGAAGAAAUGUACAAGUCAAUGCUCCUAGCCUGUUCAAGUCUGAGAUAGAUGAAAAGAGCAGCCAAAGAAACAUCUGUUGAAGCAUCAAUUGGAAAGGAUAGGAGGGUUGGAGGAGGAGCACAGCUGGAUGACUUCAUUAGGUAAGUGUUUACUAUCAAAGCCUGUUCUCUGUAGACAACUGUAUUAGUGUUGAUAGAAGUAUGUUUAGGUAAUGUCUUUCAACCCAACCACUACAAUUCCUGAUCUCAUGUGAUUAUUCACCUCAAGUGAGUGGGCUUUCAGAUGUUUUUUCCCGAAACAGAUUGUGGCAUAUGAGGUCUCUUUAUCUGUUGAAGCAUCAAUAGGAAAGGAUGAAAGGGAGGGAGGCAGGAAGAGGAAAACACAGAAGAGCAGGUGAGGAGCACUCUAUGUUCUGCUUCCAUGUGGAUUGACAGCAUUGCUUUCAUGAGCUUCUGGAGGACACCAUGGAGGAAGAGGGAGAGGGUCUAUGAUAGGCAGUUUGCCAUGGCCCUAAAUGGGCCUUUGGAUGUUAAUUCUUUCUGCUUUAUAUCAUACAACUUUACAAUAAAAAUGAAUUGUAAGCAUCAGCCUCUUCUGUUGUGUGAUCAGUGCAGUAGUAGUAAGAUUGGUGUAAACCCAAGGAAUAUUCUGGCCUUCUAGGCAGAGUUCCUCUGUCCAGUGUCUGUGUUCUUUUGCCCAUCUUAACAUUUUUAUUGGCCAGU